AACUCUGUAGUUUAAUUAAAAAUAUUAAGUUGCAAACUUGAAGUUAUAAAUWWUUAUAUCGGGGUUU
Molecule: transfer RNA, 67 nt
Filed under: Acanthosepion pharaonis
Lineage: Eukaryota; Metazoa; Mollusca; Cephalopoda; Sepiida; Sepiidae
Description: Sepia pharaonis tRNA-Cys
Source: RNAcentral